Molecule: non-coding RNA, 712 nt
Organism: Paramuricea clavata
Lineage: Eukaryota; Metazoa; Cnidaria; Anthozoa; Malacalcyonacea; Plexauridae
Source: the annotation of a GenBank genome assembly
CUAUGAUAUGCAUUCAUCGUCCCCGGGGUGGGGCAUUUUCCACUCUCAGCUUGCCCAAGGGCCGUGCAUUAGUCUCCUACUCCUAGUUGUGUCCCGGCACACUUCUUCUAUUAACUGUGCACUAUCGUAACCAGUCAAAUCAAAUGCCCAGGUGUGUUCCCGAGGGGGGGGGGGGGUGAUGGUUACUCCUGGAAUUGACUAGUGCAUAAUAUUUAUUAAAUUUCAAUAAAUUGACCACAAUACAAAUACAAUAAAAAUACAAUAAAAACUUGUUUUAUUGUUUUAAAACAAGUGGAGCUCUCUGCUGGUUUGAAAUGGGCUGUUAUAACACUGAGUUGUCCAUGAUGAGGAUUCCGUAGCUCGAUUUGCAACAAAAACCCCAGGAUCAGGCGAUCAGCUCGUAUGGGAAUAUGUACACGAUCCAGUCGCGUCGGCCAAAGACAGAAAAAACUUUGAAAAUCGCACAGAUAUAAAUUCUACAAAAAUAUUGAAACAACUCCUAAGUCUUCUAAAUAAUAUUUUAACACUUUAACAAAAAUUCAUUGAAAAUAUAAUCUUUGAUGGCGCAAAUUCUUUCCAAGGUAUUAGACGCCAUUUUAGCGAGCGUCGAGUUGACAAUAGUCGCUUCAAUGGCCAAUAUCUCGAAAACUGCCGGGGGAUCACCGGGAUCAUUCCAGCAGAUUUAAAGCUUAUAUAUUUUUAUUGAUGGCUG